AAAUGUGUCCUUACGACUGAAAAACUUCAGGCCAUCAGAUAUAGGAAAUUACCAUUGUCAGGUCAGCGGCAAAGACCGAAGAGAGAGGAUAACAGUAAGAGUGAGGAUAAAUCCUAGUGUCCAGUCUAUGAGUCAGUCACCAAUAUUUCCAGAUGGAAAUGAGG
Molecule: long non-coding RNA, 164 nt
Organism: Puntigrus tetrazona (Sumatra barb)
Lineage: Eukaryota; Metazoa; Chordata; Actinopteri; Cypriniformes; Cyprinidae
Exons: 2
Source: RefSeq, a predicted model, not a curated record